Molecule: ribosomal RNA, 290 nt
Filed under: Paraconiothyrium fuckelii
Lineage: Eukaryota; Fungi; Ascomycota; Dothideomycetes; Pleosporales; Didymosphaeriaceae
Description: partial 18S ribosomal RNA
Rfam family: Group I catalytic intron (bases 1-226)
About the family: Group I catalytic introns are large self-splicing ribozymes. They catalyse their own excision from mRNA, tRNA and rRNA precursors in a wide range of organisms. The core secondary structure consists of 9 paired regions (P1-P9).
Source: RNAcentral
AUGAACCCGGCGUCGCAAGGCGCUUGGUGAAAUGGGCAAUCCGCAGCGAAGCCCCUGGUGUUGAUGGUAGCAAUCUCCAAGCCUUGCUUGGACCCGGAUCUGUAGAGGCCCGCCCUCGUACUUGUCCACCGCGCAGCCAAACAUGGGGAACGUUCACAGACUAAGUGGAAGUGGGUGGAGCACAGCUCUGCUUAAGAUAUAGUCGGGCCCCCUUGGAAACAUGGGGGAUUGGUUCAGGAGCAAGCGAGUACUUCGUGCUGAACCCAAAAGCAAACGUUCCGUAGGUGAAC